ACUGGAGAGAAGUAAUGACUCAGCCUAGCCCAAGCUCUUGCAGUGGAGAAGUGAUACAAAUGGAUCACUCGCUUGAGAGGGUAUGGUCUGCUAUUACAGAGCAGGACCUUCGGGCGUCAAGAGUCUCAUUAUCCUCGUCUCCGGGGCCUUAGAGGUUAAGCCCGAUGAACCUGAAUAUCCGUUAUGGAAAAUUCAUCAUUAAAAUUGUAAUAUUUAAAUAAUAUUAUGAGAAUAGUGUGCAUUUUUUCCAUAUAAGGACAUUGUAAUCUAUUAGCAUAUACCAAAUUUAUCAUAAAAUAUAACUUAUAGUUUAUUCCAAUUAAAUUGCUUGCAUUUUAACACAGAAUAAAUGUUAUUAAUUUGAUAAAGUGCUGAUAGAUUUAUAUGAUUACAGUGCGUUAAUUUUUCGGAAUUAUAUAAUGGCAUAAUUAUCAUUGAUUUUUGUGUUUAUUAUAUGCACUUGUAUGAUUAACAAUGCGAAAGAUUCAGGAUACCUUCGGGACCCGUCUUGAAACACGGACCAAGGAGUCUAACAUAUGUGCAAGUUAUUGGGAUAUAAACCUAAUAGCGUAAUUAACUUGACUAAUAAUGGGAUUAGUUUUUUAGCUAUUUAUAGCUAAUUAACACAAUCCCGGGGCGUUCUAUAUAGUUAUGUAUAAUGUAUAUUUAUAUUAUUUAUGCCUCUAACUGGAACGUACCUUGAGCAUAUAUGCUGUGACCCGAAAGAUGGUGAACUAUACUUGAUCAGGUUGAAGUCAGGGGAAACCCUGAUGGAAGACCGAAACAGUUCUGACGUGCAAAUCGAUUGUCAGAAUUGAGUAUAGGGGCGAAAGACCAAUCGAACCAUCUAGUAGCUGGUUCCUUCCGAAGUUUCCCUCAGGAUAGCUGGUGCAUUUUAAUAUUAUAUAAAAUAAUCUUAUCUGGUAAAGCGAAUGAUUAGAGGCCUUAGGGUCGAAACGAUCUUAACCUAUUCUCAAACUUUAAAUGGGUAAGAACCUUAACUUUCUUGAUAUGAAGUUCAAGGUUAUGAUAUAAUGUGCCCAGUGGGCCACUUUUGGUAAGCAGAACUGGCGCUGUGGGAUGAACCAAACGUAAUGUUACGGUGCCCAAAUUAACAACUCAUGCAGAUACCAUGAAAGGCGUUGGUUGCUUAAAACAGCAGGACGGUGAUCAUGGAAGUCGAAAUCCGCUAAGGAGUGUGUAACAACUCACCUGCCGAAGCAACUAGCCCUUAAAAUGGAUGGCGCUUAAGUUGUAUACCUAUACAUUACCGCUAAAGUAGAUGAUUUAUAUUACUUGUGAUAUAAAUUUUGAAACUUUAGUGAGUAGGAAGGUACAAUGGUAUGCGUAGAAGUGUUUGGCGUAAGCCUGCAUGGAGCUGCCAUUGGUACAGAUCUUGGUUGUAGUAGCAAAUAAUCGAAUGAGACCUUGGAGGACUGAAGUGGAGAAGGGUUUCGUGUGAACAGUGGUUGAUCACGAGUUAGUCGGUCCUAAGUUCAAGGCGAAAGCCGAAAAUUUUCAAGUAAAACAAAAAUGCCUAACUAUAUAAACAAAGCGAAUUAUAAUACACUUGAAUAAUUUUGAACGAAAGGGAAUACGGUUCCAAUUCCGUAACCUGUUGAGUAUCCGUUUGUUAUUAAAUAUGGGCCUCGUGCUCAUCCUGGCAACAGGAACGACCAUAAAGAAGCCGUCGAGAGAUAUCGGAAGAGUUUUCUUUUCUGUUUUAUAGCUACCAUGGAAGUCUUUCGCAGAGAGAUAUGGUAGAUGGGCUAGAAGAGCAUGACAUAUACUGUUGUGUCGAUAUUUUCUCCUCGGACCUUGAAAAUUUAUGGUGGGGACACGCAAACUUCUCAACAGGCCGUACCAAUAUCCGCAGCUGGUCUCCAAGGUGAAGAGUCUCUAGUCGAUAGAAUAAUGUAGGUAACGGAAGUCGGCAAAUUAGAUCCGUAACUUCGGGAUAAGGAUUGGCUCUGAAGAUUGAGAUAGUCGGGCUUGAUUGGGAAACAAUAACAUGGUUUAUGUGCUCGUUCUGGGUAAAUAGAGUUUCUAGCAUUUAUGUUAGUUACUUGUUCCCCGGAUAGUUUAGUUACGUAGCCAAUUGUGGAACUUUCUUGCUAAAAUUUUUAAGAAUACUAUUUGGGUUAAACCAAUUAGUUCUUAUUAAUUAUAACGAUUAUCAAUUAACAAUCAAUUCAGAACUGGCACGGACUUGGGGAAUCCGACUGUCUAAUUAAAACAAAGCAUUGUGAUGGCCCUAGCGGGUGUUGACACAAUGUGAUUUCUGCCCAGUGCUCUGAAUGUCAAAGUGAAGAAAUUCAAGUAAGCGCGGGUCAACGGCGGGAGUAACUAUGACUCUCUUAAGGGGAUCAUGGGGUAUUGGAGAGCAGAGGGGGAGUAUUCUUCUGUAAUUCGUAAGUCAUAUCAUAUGAUGUGCGGAAGGGGAAUUUUACUCUGUAACUCACAAGUCUCUCCUUUACUCAAGUCGACUCAAAACCUCCUCGUGGUGGUCCCCGGUAAUGCUAAACUCGUUUAGCAGCUAAUUUGAGCGGCAAAACUUUUCCGAUGGGCUGGUUCCCCAGAGGAAAUUUAUUCAUAUUGGAACUACAAGCACAAAUAACGAGCCUCGGAUACCUUUACACAAUCUGAUGACGACCCGACCCUCCGUGGAUAUCUUCCCGGAGGACCAAUAUGAACCAAACGCAGCGGCUACUCUAUCUAGGGUUCCCUGCACAGUAUGUGGCCGGUCCUUUAACAGCAAGAGAGGACUCGGUGUUCACAUGCGAUCUCGGCACCCAGACGAACUUGAUGAAGAACGUCGACGUGUCGAUAUAAAGGCAAGAUGGAGUGAUGAAGAGAAGUGGAUGAUGGCGAGAAAGGAGGUUGAGCUCACAGCAAAUGGAUGUAAACACAUAAACAAGCAACUAGCGGUGUAUUUUGCAAACCGCAGCGUCGAAGCCAUCAAAAAGCUAAGACAGAGGGGCGAUUAU
This 2987-nucleotide ribosomal RNA is filed under the name Drosophila melanogaster (fruit fly). RNAcentral's name for it is "eukaryotic LSU rRNA". The stretch from base 1 to 2515 matches the Rfam family "Eukaryotic large subunit ribosomal RNA", at positions 449 to 3401 of the family's 3401-position model. Lineage: Eukaryota; Metazoa; Arthropoda; Insecta; Diptera; Drosophilidae. The record is from RNAcentral.